Lytechinus pictus (painted urchin) is the source of this 521-nucleotide long non-coding RNA. RefSeq lists it as uncharacterized. The record is from RefSeq and is a predicted model, not a curated record. Lineage: Eukaryota; Metazoa; Echinodermata; Echinoidea; Temnopleuroida; Toxopneustidae. The transcript is spliced from 2 exons.
AUAAUGUUAUUUGAUUAUGAAUUUCUAUUUUGUUUGAUAAAGCUUUUUUUGCGCAGGAGUCUGCUAUUUCAUUUCCUUUUAUUCCACAGUGACCAGGGAUCCACUCCAGGUAUACCUCUAUACCUUUAUAUUUGAGUCUUGUACUAAUAGUUAGAAUUUCUGUAAUGAUAGGAUCGUCUUUCCGAUUCUGUAAAGAUAAAAGUGCACUUAAUGAAUCACUGAAAAUAACAACACCUGUAUAUAUAUCUAAAUAUUCUAUCCAUUCCAGUGCGAGAACAAUCGCAAUUAAUUCAGCCCUAUAGGAGGACGUGAAAUUCGAUAGUCUUUUGCCUUGGUAACAGGAAAAAUAAGAAAACCAUACUGCACAAUCAUCAGCAUAUAUGGAUAAUGUCACUUCAGGAUCAAUUGGAAUAUCUCUCAUCAUGACAUUAUAUAGAAGGGGACUCAGAACACUCCCCUGGGGGAGUCCGUUAUGGAUUUGAAAUGUUCUGGAUUCAGUAUUUGUAACUCUUACCUGAAAG